This 292-nucleotide non-coding RNA is filed under the name Homo sapiens (human). Lineage: Eukaryota; Metazoa; Chordata; Mammalia; Primates; Hominidae. The record is from RNAcentral.
GACAGCGGGGAUUUUCAGUUUGAUUGACACCCUGUGGCCCCCAGCGAUACCUCUGAAAACACCUGGCCGCGACCAGCCCUGUGAAGAGAUAAAAACUCAUCUGCCUCCUCCAGCCUUGUGUUACAUCCUCACAGCUCAUCCAAAUCUGGGACAAAUUGAUAUAAUUGACGAAGACCCCAUUUAUAAGCUUUACCAGCCUCCAGUUACCCGCUGCUUAAGAGACAUUCUCCAGAUGAAUGAUCUUGGUACCCGUUGCAGUUUCUAUGCCACGGUGAUUUACCAAAAACCACAG